AACGAACGCUGGCGGCGUGCCUAACACAUGCAAGUCGUACGAGAAAGUCCUUCGGGAUGAGUAGAGUGGCGCACGGGUGAGUAAUGCAUGGGAACGUGCCAUUUGGUUUGGGAUAACCACGGGAAACUGUGGCUAAUACCGGAUGGUCUCGAGAGAGUAAAGAUGGCCUCUGAUUUCAAGCUAUCGCCGAUUGAUCGGCCCAUGUCCCAUUAGCUAGUUGGUGAGGUAAUAGCUCACCAAGGCGACGAUGGGUAGCUGGUCUGAGAGGAUGAUCAGCCACACUGGAACUGAGACACGGUCCAGACUCCUACGGGAGGCUG
RNAcentral lists this ribosomal RNA (320 nucleotides) under uncultured Pseudomonadota bacterium. RNAcentral's name for it is "bacterial SSU rRNA". It matches the Rfam family "Bacterial small subunit ribosomal RNA", at positions 29 to 351 of the family's 1533-position model. Lineage: Bacteria; Pseudomonadati; Pseudomonadota. The record is from RNAcentral.